RNAcentral lists this ribosomal RNA (2901 nucleotides) under Proteus mirabilis. RNAcentral describes it as "23S ribosomal RNA". It matches the Rfam family "Bacterial large subunit ribosomal RNA". The record is from RNAcentral. Lineage: Bacteria; Pseudomonadati; Pseudomonadota; Gammaproteobacteria; Enterobacterales; Morganellaceae.
GGUUAAGCGAAUAAGCGUACACGGUGGAUGCCUAGGCAAUCAGAGGCGAUGAAGGACGUGCUAAUCUGCGAAAAGCGUCGGUAAGGUGAUAUGAACCGUUACACCCGACGAUAUCCGAAUGGGGAAACCCAGUAUCCAAUGGAUACUAUCAUUAACUGAAUCCAUAGGUUAAUGAGGCGAACCGGGAGAACUGAAACAUCUCAGUACCCCGAGGAAAAGAAAUCAACCGAGAUUCCCCUAGUAGCGGCGAGCGAACGGGGAGCAGCCCAGAGUCUUAAUCAAUAGCAGUGUCAGGAGAACGGUCUGGAAAGUCCGGCAGUAAAGGGUGAUAGCCCCGUAUCUGAAGAUGCUGUUAUUGUGAACUCGACGAGUAGGGCGGGACACGUGUUAUCCUGUCUGAAUAUGGGGGGACCAUCCUCCAAGGCUAAAUACUCCUGAUUGACCGAUAGUGAACCAGUACCGUGAGGGAAAGGCGAAAAGAACCCCGGCGAGGGGAGUGAAAAAGAACCUGAAACCGUGUACGUACAAGCAGUAGGAGCCUCUUUAUGGGGUGACUGCGUACCUUUUGUAUAAUGGGUCAGCGACUUAUAUUCUGUAGCAAGGUUAACCGUAUAGGGGAGCCGUAGGGAAACCGAGUCUUAACUGGGCGAAUGAGUUGCAGGGUAUAGACCCGAAACCCGGUGAUCUAUCCAUGGGCAGGUUGAAGGUUGGGUAACACUAACUGGAGGACCGAACCGACUAAUGUUGAAAAAUUAGCGGAUGACUUGUGGAUGGGGGUGAAAGGCCAAUCAAACCGGGAGAUAGCUGGUUCUCCCCGAAAGCUAUUUAGGUAGCGCCUCGUGAACUCAUCUUCGGGGGUAGAGCACUGUUUCGACUAGGGGGUCAUCCCGACUUACCAACUCGAUGCAAACUGCGAAUACCGAAGAAUGUUAUCACGGGAGACACACGGCGGGUGCUAACGUCCGUCGUGAAGAGGGAAACAACCCAGACCGCCAGCUAAGGUCCCAAAGUCAUGGUUAAGUGGGAAACGAAGUGGGAAGGCUCAGACAGCCAGGAUGUUGGCUUAGAAGCAGCCAUCAUUUAAAGAAAGCGUAAUAGCUCACUGGUCGAGUCGGCCCGCGCGGAAGAUGUAACGGGGCUAAACCAUGCACCGAAGCUGCGGCAGCGACACAAAGUGUUGUUGGGUAGGGGAGCGUUCUGUAAGCCUGCGAAGGUGUACUGUGAGGUAUGCUGGAGGUAUCAGAAGUGCGAAUGCUGACAUAAGUAACGAUAAUGCGGGUGAAAAACCCGCACGCCGGAAGACCAAGGGUUCCUGUCCAACGUUAAUCGGGGCAGGGUGAGUCGACCCCUAAGGCGAGGCUGAAAAGCGUAGUCGAUGGGAAACGGGUUAAUAUUCCCGUACUGGUGGUAACUGCGAUGGGGGAACGGAGAAGGCUAGGUUGUCCGGGCGACGGUCGUCCCGGUUCAAGCAGGUAGGCAGAGUGAUUAGGCAAAUCCGGUCACUUAAUGCUGAGAUGUGAUGACGAACCACCAAGGUGGUGAAGCAAUUGAUGCCCCGCUUCCAGGAAAAGCCUCUAAGCUUCAGGUUACCAACAAUCGUACCCCAAACCGACACAGGUGGUCAGGUAGAGAAUACUCAGGCGCUUGAGAGAACUCGGGUGAAGGAACUAGGCAAAAUGGUGCCGUAACUUCGGGAGAAGGCACGCUGGCGGUAAGUAAAGUCCCUCGCGGACAGAGCUGAAGCCAGUCGAAGAUACCAGCUGGCUGCAACUGUUUAUUAAAAACACAGCACUGUGCAAACACGAAAGUGGACGUAUACGGUGUGACGCCUGCCCGGUGCUGGAAGGUUAAUUGAUGGGGUUAGCGUAAGCGAAGCUCCUGAUCGAAGCCCCAGUAAACGGCGGCCGUAACUAUAACGGUCCUAAGGUAGCGAAAUUCCUUGUCGGGUAAGUUCCGACCUGCACGAAUGGCGUAAUGAUGGCCAGGCUGUCUCCACCCGAGACUCAGUGAAAUUGAACUCGCUGUGAAGAUGCAGUGUACCCGCGGCAAGACGGAAAGACCCCGUGAACCUUUACUAUAGCUUGACACUGAACAUUGAGCCUUGAUGUGUAGGAUAGGUGGGAGGCUUUGAAGUGUGGACGCCAGUCUGCAUGGAGCCAACCUUGAAAUACCACCCUUUAACGUUUGAUGUUCUAACCUAGGCCCAUAAACUGGGUCGGGGACCGUGUCUGGUGGGUAGUUUGACUGGGGCGGUCUCCUCCUAAAGAGUAACGGAGGAGCACGAAGGUUGGCUAAGCAUGGUCGGACAUCAUGCGGUUAGUGCAAAGGCAUAAGCCAGCUUGACUGCGAGAGUGACGGCUCGAGCAGGUACGAAAGUAGGUCUUAGUGAUCCGGUGGUUCUGAAUGGAAGGGCCAUCGCUCAACGGAUAAAAGGUACUCCGGGGAUAACAGGCUGAUACCGCCCAAGAGUUCAUAUCGACGGCGGUGUUUGGCACCUCGAUGUCGGCUCAUCACAUCCUGGGGCUGAAGUAGGUCCCAAGGGUAUGGCUGUUCGCCAUUUAAAGUGGUACGCGAGCUGGGUUUAGAACGUCGUGAGACAGUUCGGUCCCUAUCUGCCGUGGGCGUUGGAAGAUUGAGAGGGGUUGCUCCUAGUACGAGAGGACCGGAGUGAACGCACCACUGGUGUUCGGGUUGUCAUGCCAAUGGCAUUGCCCGGUAGCUAAGUGCGGAAGAGAUAACCGCUGAAAGCAUCUAAGCGGGAAACUUGCCUCGAGAUGAGUCUUCCCUGUCGCUUUAAGCGACCUAAAGGAACGUUUAAGACUAAGACGUUGAUAGGCUGGGUGUGUAAGCGUAGCGAUACGUUGAGCUAACCAGUACUAAUGAACCGUGAGGCUUAACCUG